Molecule: long non-coding RNA, 524 nt
Organism: Helianthus annuus (common sunflower)
Lineage: Eukaryota; Viridiplantae; Streptophyta; Magnoliopsida; Asterales; Asteraceae
Exons: 3
Source: RefSeq, a predicted model, not a curated record
AAAACAUUCUGGCGUCAAUAAGAAUGAUGAAGCUUCGGUGUAAUUGAAAUCAGGAAACAAGCAGAGCUAGGGAAUAUGACAAGCCCGGAUCUGAUAGGUUUGCUUCUGUAUGGUUGCAAUCGGUGGAUGAAGAUGCAAAUCAGAUGAAGAUGGAGUGAUGGAGAUGACAAGCAAAACUUUGCAGAUCUGAGUUUUUAUGGUUGUAAACCCUAUAUUGUUUUACGAAUCUUCUAAUUUGUUUUCGAAAUUUUAGAUUUUUUUAAGUUGUUUAGUGGAUGAUUGUGGCAUUAGGUUCACUUGAGGUGUGAUUUCUUGUAUGUUGAAGGAUAUGAUGAUCCAGCUCUCCGCUUUAGCAGGUCUGUUAACUUCAUAUGCCCAUCUUUAUUUGUCAUUAGUUUCGUUUUGAAUUGAUUAAUUGUUGAUUUCAGGGUGCACGUUAAGAUGACGUGCAAUGCUCUUGAUGAAGGAUAUAGUUAGGGCCACUAUUGGUGUAGUUUUCUACCCUAAGUUUCAAGCGGGUUCUA